RNAcentral lists this long non-coding RNA (2929 nucleotides) under Homo sapiens (human). RNAcentral describes it as "HSALNT0377769". The record is from RNAcentral. Lineage: Eukaryota; Metazoa; Chordata; Mammalia; Primates; Hominidae.
GAAAGAGAGAGAGAAAAAAGGCAAAGUGAUUCCUGCAUUUGGACCAUAUUUGAAGCAAUAAAAUGCAUUAGGAUUCUCUUAAUACAUAUGGCCAAGAAGAUUUCCAGAUAGGGGAGAUUGCACAUAGGUGAGUUAUUACCAAAUUUUCAUGAUGGAUACCUAAAGAUUCAUUAUAUACUGUUCUUAAAAUAUGUAAAAUGGCAAGACAUUUUCCAUUUUAUUUUAAUGUAUGUAUUUCUUUUAUUAUUUCCUUAUUUUACAGAUGGGGUACUGCUCUGUUGCCCAGGCUGUAGUGCAGUGACACAAUCACAGCACAUUGCACCCUCAAAGUCCUAGACUCACGAGAUCCUCCCACCUUAGCCUCCAAGUAGAACUGCAGGCAUGCAUUGCAACAGCCAGCUAAUUUUUCUUUUUGAUUUUUUUUGGGGGGAUAGAGAUGGAGUCUCACUAUGUUACCCAGGCUGGUCUCAAACUCCUGGUCUCAAGUGAUCUUCUUGUCUCAGCCUUCCAAAGUACUGGGAUUACAGGCAUGAGCUGUCAUACCGAGCAAAAUUGUUCAUUUUAAAGACACUGGAUUCUGACACAAAUCUUUCUUCCAACCAAAAACCUACUGGCAACCUGCACAUUCAAUAAGUAUAUGGACAACACAUCCAAAAUCCACCAUUCUUUGUUCCUUUAUUCAUGUAGUUUGCUCCAUCUCCCCUCUUCUAUCCCAGACAUUUUAUGUAUACCUAAUUGUGCUCUAAAUUGAUAGUCAAAAAAGCCCCACUAAAAGGGCUUACUAGUAUUGAGAAACCUCCUCCAAUCAAGACUUUUUAAUUUUAUAAUAUAUUCUUAUCUGCAGAAAAGCCCUGGGCAUUCUAAGGAAGGAAGGCAUGUGAUAGGGUAACAGGGAGUGAGGCAGCUGUUUUGGGACAGGGCACACAGCCAACUAGCAUCAUGAUCUCUAUCAUAAGAGGCUCCUCCUGGUCAUGUCAAUACAGAUUUGAUUCUACUUUUCACAUGGCUGAUGAGUUACCUGGAUCUACACAUUUCAAUCUCAAUGUUCCAAAGAAAGCCUACACAGAGGAGCUUAAGCCUAGAGUCCAUUCAUUCUAAUGUUCAGAAGACCACAAUUUGAGUAGACUUAAAAACCUCAUUACUGUUGAAAACAAAUUUUGGCUCAAGUAAAAGCUAACUUUGCUCAGUUCCUGACUUUCACUUAAAAAUGUUGUUAAUGAUUUGCUCAUAUUUGAAAUCAAAAUGUUAAAACAAAUUUGGAGACACGUUGUUAACACAUACUGGUGGCCUCAAUAUUCUAAGAGCACAAAUGAGCAUGUGCAACCUCCUUAGCAUUAUGAUGUCAAGAAAACCUCUAUCCCUCCAUGUGGGUGUCCAGAACUAAUGGAUGGCCACCGGAUGCCACAAGAGGAAAUCAGGAUCACUAGAUGAGACCUCUUAGCUCCAGUCCAAGAGGCCCUUUGCUGAUUCCAACCGCAACAUCCAACAUCGGCCACUAAUUCAGCCAGCUGGUAAGAUCUGCCCUCACCUGCUGUUCUUACAGUACCUGGGGAAAGUGAGGUCUGCUGUCCCAGUCCUUGGAGGACCAGUGGGACUAAGCUGGAAGAAAUCUUGGGUAUGUCCAGUUUCUUCUCAGCUUGACGUCCUCUUGAGAAAGAGGAUUCCAGGUUUCUGUCUUUUGUCUGGGGACAACUGGAACAAAAACAGACACCCUCGGCUUCUUCUUGCCAGUCUACAUGGGUGCCAAACAAUCCCACAUUCCUCAUCCUCUCCACUGGGCUGUCUCCUUCACAACCUCGCCAAACUUGACAUAUGCAUUUAGUUUUUUAUUGCAACAUGGCCUGGACCCAAUACAAAUUAAAUAAUGACAGCUGAUGGCCCAAAAAUGGCACCUUUAACUUUCAAAUUCUCAGGGACCUUGACAACUUUAUAACCAGGAACAGUAAAUGGCAAGAGGUUCUCUAUAUUCAGGCUUUCUUCUACCUUAUAUCCCAACCCUCCCUGUGUCAAGCUUGUACCCCUCAUGAAAUCCUUUUUCUUAAUGAAAACCCUCCCUGGGUCUCUCCUUCCUCCAAAACUUCUUCCUUCAAAACUCCUUCCUCCGAAAUCCCUUUUGACCCUGCAGAUGAAUCCCCUCCGUAUUCUCAUCCCCCUGCAUCAUGAUGCUCCUCAUCUGUCUGAACUCUCUGCCCCGGUGUCCCGCCCUGCCCCCAAGCCCUCAGCCCCAAAUCCCACUCCUCCUCCUUCUCCACCUGCUACCCAUUCAAAAACCAUCUCUGCUAUUCUCUGUUUCUGAGAAGUGGCUAGGUUUGAAGGCACUGCUCGCAUUCAUAUGCCUUUUUCCAUGUCUGAUUUGUCACAGAUCAAACAGCAUCUGGGAUCUUUCCCGGAAAAUCCCCCUCAUUAUCUCAGGGAAUUCCUGGCACAUAACCUAAUCCUUUAAUUUAACUUGGCAUGAUAUUUAUAUAAUUCUAACUUCCACCCUCACCCCGAUGAAAAAGAGUGCUCAGCUUAAUUAAAAUGAAUAUCCAAGCUGAGUAUAUUCAAAAGGCCUUUAUGUUUUUCUCUUCAUAAAUCUUGUUUUCCUGGAAAAGGUUUUUUCCCAGUUAACUGAAUUACUUUUGUCCACUUUGUCUUCCCAUUCUUGGUGCAUGUAUGAAGAACACUAAAAUGACUUCUGGUGUCCUGGGACUCAUUGGGAAAACAGAAAAGGCACCAAAAAUCCUGUUUCAGGAAAAAUCUGUUUUCCUCACAGAACCCCUGGAAUUAGAGGUGGAUAAGUACUUCUCAAAAUCAUCUUUGUCUUCCAGCUAUACUUGUUUAUUAGGCCCUGGAAACUGUUUUCCUAGCCCUGUUUUGUUUUGUUUUUUUCUGAGAUGGAGUCUUGCUCUGUCACCAGGUUGGAGUGCAGUGGCACGAUCUCAGCUCA